UCUAGUCAAAAUAUAGCAGGAGUCUUAACAAAAGUACAACGAAGGGUUUCUCCAUACUUCUCCAAGAUUCAGUCCUAUUAAGGAAAACAAAACUAUAGGGUGAGCUAAACGCUCGUGAGGCCAAGAACACACAUGCAAGCACAUUUACCAAAUAGCAAUCCCAAGUUUAACAAAUAAAACCAUGUCCUUUCAAUAAUCAAUCAUUCGAACAGGAAAAGUAAUCAGAAAUAAUUCAAGGAUAUAGUAGCUCUCAAGAGUUAAGUUCCACUCGCUCUGCCGAUGUCAUUCGUAUACCUUCCCGCGUUGACCCUCCUGUCAACCGGGUCGGUAUUUCCAUUACCGUAGAUCACCACUUACUUCCCUCCGUCCACCGUACACCCCAAGGGCCCACAAGUCUUUUAUAAGGCGAUACUCUACGAGUAUGCCAAGCAAGACCUCUCAUUAGGUCGAGCUUAUAUAUAUCUCAUGGCUCGCGCAAGUCCCCGACCAAGCCCAUUGCCGGCUCGAGUCUAAGGUCGGCCUAUGAGUUUGGGCGUCCCCCAUUCAUUUGAAAGUCGAGGAGGUUCACUCCAACGACAUAUGUAAUUAUAACAUAACAUUUCAUUUCAUCCAUUCAUUCAAUACAUUGCAUUCAUUCAAUACAUUUCAAUCAUUCAUUUGAAAUUAGAACGAGUGCGAUAAAGUACGCACCCGCCCUUAUUUUUAAAACUUCGAACAAUUACCACAAAUAAGCAAGUAUCAAAGAUUCACACACUUGACACUCACCGAACAAUUCAAUAAGAAUUGUUUUCUGGGAGUUCAAGUGUCCACAGUGAGAUCCUCUUGAAGGUCUCCUUGUGCGCUUGGCAAUUAAUAGCGGAUAAUCACACAAAUAAUCCACUUGUCACGGAAGAUUGUACACUAGUACAAUCUAAAAAUUAUUUCACAAAAGGAACCUCAAUUACUCGUAAAUCGAGGUUCAACUUGCCUUUUAUUAUGUACAAUAUUAUUUGAGUUUUUAUCAUGAAAAUCGAGGGCAAAACGUUUGAAUAAUACUAAGAGAAUUAAGAGUUUUGGAAAAACUCCUUUGCCUUGAAAAUUAAGAAAUUUCAGUUUUAUCCUAAAUGUUUGAAAAUUCGAAUCUCUCUCUAUAUAAGCCCAAAAUUGGUAAACUUUAUACCAUUGGAAACCUUUUGGAAAGUUUUAAAAGUUCUUAGAAGACACCUUUCCACGAAUCUAAGUGGAAAGUACUCAAAAAUGAGUUUGAAGAUACAGACUCGGCGUACAAGGCAGAAUUAAGUUGGAUUUCGGCCAACUUUGAAAAUUCGGCACGAUUAACACGUUGCAAACCAGCCUCUGAAAUUUGUCACUCAAGUAGAGUUGCAAGUGAGGUUUAUAACAAAACAAGCGGAUCAAGAAUCAGAGUUUCGAGUACCGAGAUAUGGUAGCUCGAAGUUGGGAAAAUUCAAGACUGGAGAAGAAUUUCCAGAUUUGAACCUCCAACACUAGAAAUUUAAUUAGGUAUCGAAACGAACUUGGAUUGGUACCAAAAUUGGCAGUACUUUACUCCUAUAUGAAAGGUACUGCCCUAUCAAAUUUCAGGGAAAAAUACCUUCGGAAAGAUAGUUAAUUAGUCAACCAAAGUUCAGGAAAAAUUCUAAGGCAAUCUGCCUUUUGACUUUCAUUUCCCAAUUUCAAAUCGUUUAACCAAGAAAACUAUCCAACCAUGGUUCAUUGGUGAAAUAAAAGUCUAAGAUACAUCCAUGAUACCUUUGGUAAGUGAUGAGUAUCAAGAACUUCAAUUAAUAAAAUCAUUCCCACGUUUUGCCCCAAAUCAGUCCAAAUACUACGUUUUUCCAAAACAGGGCAGUCCUCUUGUUUUAGUCACAACUCAAUCAAUUUAACUCGGAAUGAGGCAUGGUUUAUGGCGUUAGAAAACACAUUCAAGGGACUAAAAGUUCACAGAAGGAAAUGUUCUGAAAUUCGGCAAGCAACCAGCUCGAAAUUGAGCCUCAAGUUGCUGCCUCUACAAACCAUUCCAGCAAAUCCGAGAGACAGGACAGCCAUCUUAAAACGUUUGGUUCGGCUCACUCACAAAGAAUAAGAACGUGCAUUUUAUCUCAAAUUAAAGCCAGGAAUGUCUAGUUUCAAACGCCACCAACGGCACUUGAUUUCGACACCCGAGGACAGAGUUAUGGCAAAAAUGCUACCGCUGGACAGGGUUACCCGAAAAUAAUUUUCCAGCUUGCCUAGUUCACGAAUAAAUUCAUUUGCCCAUCUAAACGUUAAUGUUUUCCAACGAAAAUUUUUACACAUAUAGUAUAACAUAUAAACAUCAGGUUCAUGCCAAUAAAUCACCAAAAAUUGGCCUUAUAGUGGCCGAACAAAACAGGGGCAGUUUCGAAAAUUUCUUGUCAUGACCUCAACUUUGAGUUUCCAACAAUAAUACUUCAUAAAUCCAUCAUUAUAACCACUAAACUACCAUUAAAUCCAACAUUAAUCCUCUAAUCAACAACAACAACUCAAGUGUGGGAAUUCCAAGAGCCCACUAUCACAUUUUCUAACUAUAUCAAGCCAUCCAUACACAUGCAAUAGUUUAAAGAUGCAUUUCUACCAUCAUAAUCCAAGUUUAAGGUGUAGGAUGAAGUUAUACCUCCUUAGUGCCUUAACCCAGAAAUUUUCGGUCCUCAAGAGCUCCAAGAAACCGUGAAUUGCAGCCUUUUAGCUAGCUAGAUCCAACCUCCAAGUAGUUUGCUAGAUGAUCAUCAAGUUUGGUGAAGAUUGGUUGAAGUUUUGGGUUGAUUUGAUGAAGGAAUUUGUGAAGCAAGAGAGUGAGAGAGAGAGGGGUGUUGGCC
RNAcentral lists this long non-coding RNA (2834 nucleotides) under Coffea arabica (coffee). Its description in RNAcentral is "long non-coding RNA (CARA_LNC002303)". The record is from RNAcentral. Lineage: Eukaryota; Viridiplantae; Streptophyta; Magnoliopsida; Gentianales; Rubiaceae.